ACCUGCGGAGGAUCAUUACAAGUGAGGCUACCGAACGUUGGAAACAGCGAUUAGGAGCUUACACCCACCCGUGUUUACAUACUAUUGUUGCUUUGGCGGGCCGUGGCCUCCACUGCGGGCUCUGCUCGUGUGUGCCCGCCAGAGAACCAAACUCUGAAUGUUAGUGAUGUCUGAGUACUAUCUAAUAGUUAAAACUUUCAACAACGGAUCUCUUGGUUCUGGCAUCGAUGAAGAACGCAGCGAAAUGCGAUAAGUAAUGUGAAUUGCAGAAUUCAGUGAAUCAUCGAAUCUUUGAACGCACAUUGCGCCCUGUGGUAUUCCGCAGGGCAUGCCUGUUCGAGCGUCAUUUAACCACUCACGCCUAGCGUGGUAUUGGGGCACGCGGUCUCCGCGGCCCUCAAAAUUAGUGGCGGCGCCGGUGGGCUCUAAGCGUAGUACAUACUCCCGCUAUAGAGUUCCCCCGGUGGCUCGCCAGAACCCCCAAUUUUUACAGGUUGACCUCGGAUCAGGUAGGGAUACCCGCUGAACUUAAGCAUAUCAAUAAGCGGAGGAAAAGAAACCAACAGGGAUUACCUCAGUAACGGCGAGUGAAGCGGUAACAGCUCAAAUUUGAAAGCUGCCAACAGGCCGCGUUGUAAUUUGUAGAAGCUGCUUUGGGUGUCGGCCCGGUCUAAGUUCCUUGGAACAGGACGUCAUAGAGGGUGAGAAUCCCGUAUGUGAUCGGUGCCGUUGCCCGUGUAAAGCGCUUUCGACGAGUCGAGUUGUUUGGGAAUGCAGCUCAAAAUGGGUGGUAAAUUUCAUCUAAAGCUAAAUAUUGGCCAGAGACCGAUAGCGCACAAGUAGAGUGAUCGAAAGAUGAAAAGCACUUUGGAAAGAGAGUUAAACAGUACGUGAAAUUGUUGAAAGGGAAGCGCUUGCAACCAGACUUGCGGGCGGUCGAUCAUCCGAGGUUCUCCCCGGUGCACUCGAUCGUUCUCAGGCCAGCAUCGGUUUCCGGGGUGGGAUAAAGGCGGUGGGAAUGUGGCUCUUCGGAGUGUUAUAGCCCACCGUGCAAUGCCGCCACUGGGGACCGAGGACCGCGCUUCGGCUAGGA
Molecule: ribosomal RNA, 1093 nt
Filed under: Phialocephala fortinii
Lineage: Eukaryota; Fungi; Ascomycota; Leotiomycetes; Helotiales; Mollisiaceae
Description: eukaryotic LSU rRNA
Rfam family: Eukaryotic large subunit ribosomal RNA (bases 496-1093)
Source: RNAcentral